Molecule: long non-coding RNA, 535 nt
Filed under: Homo sapiens (human)
Lineage: Eukaryota; Metazoa; Chordata; Mammalia; Primates; Hominidae
Description: HSALNT0311357
Source: RNAcentral
CCCAAGACAAUUCUUCUUCUUCCACUGUGGCCCAGGGAAGCCAAAAGAUUGGAUACCCUGACCUAGUGUACCCAUUAGGUCCUCAAAAGGGCCUAUGAUAAAAAGAAAAUGUAAGAGGCACCAUUUUUCAGCAAAUGUCUCAUUUUCUAGACAUGUUCUCUGCAACGAGUUUAUCUUGGAAGGCACUUCUAGCAAUUCUUUUUCUCCAGGGGAAUCAGUUGACAGACAUGUGACUAAGAUUUUUCUUCUGAGGGGUAUUUGGUCACACCUGCUCUAAAGUCCUUCCAGGCUAUUGUUUGUGCUUGCUGGGCUGCUGUGGACGUGGAGAGAGACACUUAUAAUGCAGUAGUUGAAAACCUGCAAAUUGGAGUCAUGCUGUUUGGAUUUGAGGACCAGCUCUGCCUACAUUGGCUGUGGGGUCUUGAACAAGUCACUUAACUUCCCUGUCCAUCAAUGUUCUUAUCUGCAAAACAAAAUAAUGACAGUGUCUGGUAAUGCUGUUGGAGGAAAAAAUAAAAUAGUGCCUACAUAUGGA